AGUGAACGCUGGCGGUAGGCCUAACACAUGCAAGUCGAACGGCAGCACAGUAAGAGCUUGCUCUUACGGGUGGCGAGUGGCGGACGGGUGAGGAAUACAUCGGAAUCUACUUUUUCGUGGGGGUUAACGUAGGGAAACUUACGCUAAUACCGCAUACGACCUACGGGUGAAAGCAGGGGAUCUUCGGACCUUGCGCGAUUGAAUGAGCCGAUGUCGGAUUAGCUAGUUGGCGGGGUAAAGGCCCACCAAGGCGACGAUCCGUAGCUGGUCUGAGAGGAUGAUCGGCCACACUGGAACUGAGACACGGUCCAGACUCCUACGGGAGGCAGCAGUGGGGAAUAUUGGACAAUGGGCGCAAGCCUGAUCCAGCCAUACCGCGUGGGUGAAGAAGGCCUUCGGGUUGUAAAGCCCUUUUGUUGGGAAAGAAAAGCAGCAGGUUAAUACCCCGCUGUUCUGACGGUACCCAAAGAAUAAGCACCGGCUAACUUCGUG
This 492-nucleotide ribosomal RNA is filed under the name uncultured bacterium. RNAcentral's name for it is "partial 16S ribosomal RNA". It matches the Rfam family "Bacterial small subunit ribosomal RNA", at positions 29 to 507 of the family's 1533-position model. The record is from RNAcentral.